RNAcentral lists this ribosomal RNA (372 nucleotides) under uncultured organism. Its description in RNAcentral is "partial 16S ribosomal RNA". It matches the Rfam family "Bacterial small subunit ribosomal RNA", at positions 527 to 896 of the family's 1533-position model. The record is from RNAcentral.
GUAGGUGGCAAGCGUUAUCCGGAAUUAUUGGGCGUAAAGCGCGCGCAGGCGGUUUCUUAAGUCUGAUGUGAACGCCCACGGCUCAACCGCGGAGGGUCAUUGGAAACUGGGGAACUUGAGUGCAGAAGAGAAAAGCGGAAUUCCACGUGUAGCGGUGAAAUGCGUAGAGAUGUGGAGGAACACCAGUGGCGAAGGCGGCUUUUUGGUCUGUAACUGACGCUGAGGCGCGAAAGCGUGGGGAGCAAACAGGGAUUAGAUACCCUGGUAGUCCACGCCGUAAACGAUGAGUGCUAAGUGUUAGAGGGUUUCCGCCCCUUUAGUGCUGCAGCUAACGCAUUAAGCACUCCGCCUGGGAGUACGGUCGCAAGACUG